This 466-nucleotide ribosomal RNA is filed under the name Apostomatida sp. RNAcentral describes it as "SSU rRNA". It matches the Rfam family "Eukaryotic small subunit ribosomal RNA", at positions 1233 to 1718 of the family's 1831-position model. Lineage: Eukaryota; Ciliophora; Oligohymenophorea; Apostomatida. The record is from RNAcentral.
GGUGGGAUUGACAGAUUGAGAGCUCUUUCUUGAUUCUUUGGGUGGUGGUGCAUGGCCGUUCUUAGUUGGUGGAGUGAUUUGUCUGGUUAAUUCCGUUAACGAACGAGACCUUAACCUGCUAACUAGUUCGUAUUCUCACAGAGUACGAUACUUCUUAGAGGGACUAUAUAUGUUAAGUAUAUGGAAGUUUGAGGCAAUAACAGGUCUGUGAUGCCCUUAGAUGCCUGAGGGCCGCACGAUGCGCUACAAUGACAUGCUCAGCAAGUUCUAUCCUGAUUCGUAAGAAUUUGGGUAAUCUUUUUAGGACAUGUCCUGUUAGGGAUCGAUCUUUGGAAUUAUAGAUCUUGAACGAGGAAUUCCUAGUAAGUGCAAGUCAUCAGCUUGUACUGAUUACGUCCCUGCCCUUUGUACACACCGCCCGUCGCUGCUACCGAUUUCGAGUGGUCCGGUGAACCACAUGGACUUU